UGGGGAAUAUUGGGCAAUGGGCGCAAGCCUGACCCAGCAACGCCGCGUGAAGGAAGAAGGCUUUCGGGUUGUAAACUUCUUUUGAGGGGGACGAAACAAAUGACGGUACCCCUUGAAUAAGCCACGGCUAACUACGUGCCAGCAGCCGCGGUAAUACGUAGGUGGCAAGCGUUAUCCGGAUUUAUUGGGUGUAAAGGGCGUGUAGGCGGGAGUGCAAGUCAGAUGUGAAAACUAUGGGCUCGACCCAUAGCCUGCAUUUGAAACUGUACUUCUUGAGUGCUGGAGAGGCAAUCGGAAUUCCGUGUGUAGCGGUGAAAUGCGUAGAUAUACGGAGGAACACCAGUGGCAAAUGGCGGAUUGCUGGACAGUAACUGACGCUGAGGCGCGAAAGCGUGGGGAGCAAACAGGAUUAGAUACC
RNAcentral lists this ribosomal RNA (418 nucleotides) under uncultured bacterium. RNAcentral's name for it is "bacterial SSU rRNA". It matches the Rfam family "Bacterial small subunit ribosomal RNA", at positions 355 to 786 of the family's 1533-position model. The record is from RNAcentral.